This is a long non-coding RNA of Patella vulgata (common limpet), 3616 nucleotides long. RefSeq lists it as uncharacterized. NCBI's taxonomy places the organism in Eukaryota, Metazoa, Mollusca, Gastropoda, Patellidae. The record is from RefSeq and is a predicted model, not a curated record. The transcript is spliced from 5 exons.
AAGAAAGCAGAAAUAUAUCGUGAGACCCAAAUGAAGCUAAGAGGAUUCAAAAAGAGGGAUCAAGUUUUGAAACAGCUCUUUUUGUAGAACACUCAUAGAUUUAUUUUUAGGGCAGAACAUUUGCUUCCUUUUGGAAUUAUUCUUUUAGAGACACAUACUUUUUAGUAGGUGUUUUUGAAAAAUAAACCAACAGAGUUUUGAUUUUUGUCCUUUAUAUUUUAAGUGCAGGACAUUUGCUUGCUUCUUUUCGGAAUUAUUGUUUUUGAAGCGCAUAAGUUCUUGUAGGUGUUUUUGAAAAAUAAGCCAAAAGAGCUUCAAAUUGUGUCCUAUUGCAUUUUAAGAAGUUCAAUAAGAAUAUCCAUCUGUCUGUUAUAAAAUGAAGUGUUUGAUUUUACAAGUGCUUGGACUUUAUGUGUGUUAUUCUGUGUCUUUAGCCGGAGAUGCUGACGACCAAUGCCGAGCUGUCUAUGGAUCUGGAUCAUACUUUUGUCGGGCCGCGUAUUCAUCUGAGCCGUUUUUUGCAGCAAUGUGUGGGCCUAUGAAUGGUAUUUGUCAAGAUACAUCUACAAAUCAAUGUAGCGGCUCAAUAACAUUUAAUAACUUCACGGUCUGUGGUGAUAGAAAGUGGUGUGUAGCAGGUGAAUGUGUUGCUAGCGACCAAGCUCCAUCAAGACCUUCAGAUUUGUGUCCACAAAUGGAUGAUCCUACCGUAAGAUGUGUUGCAGCGAAUUGUGGUUUUAUUACUGCCGGUAGACGAGCUCAGUGUUGUAGUACUUGUGCUGCAAUGACAACACCAACGACAUCAACAACAACAACGUCUCCAACAACUUCACAAACGACAACUAUACUCACGACAACAUCUCCGAAAACGUUUCCACCAACAACCAUUCAACCAAUACGCCGUGCCUCAACAUGUACUCUGUUACGCUUUGCAUAUUAUCUAUGCAACGAAGCCCAAUCUAAUUCCUGGUAUGAAAUACGACGUUCAGUUGUUCGAUUUUUAAGAAACCUAAUGGUUCGUCGACGGCAAUACCAAAUUAUGGGAUAAACGACCACACAGUCUCAUAACGAAAGCACAACAGAGUAUCCUUAAAUCUAAACUGGCUUAUUUUUAAAUACAUCCUCCUGAAUUUCUGGCAAUAGUAUUCAAAAUAAGGUCUACGGCUUUCCUAAUUAUUAAAAAAUGUAAACCCUUAAAAUAAUGUCUACUACUGAAUUCCCAGCAAUAAUUUUCAAAAUAAGGUCUGGUAUAUUUAUUUAAACAUGUCAACACUUAAACAUACAUUAUGCAAGAGGUAAAUCUGCCUAUUACAGGUCUUUCUUUAGGCCUGAAAUGCUAUAUAAAUUAUUAAUUAGACAUUUAUUAACAUGAAAAGAACAUCAUCAACUCUCGAUACCAUCUCAUGUGCCCGAUUUUCUUUGGAUGUGAAUCCGAUCUGAUGAUUAAACGCAAACGUGGAUAAUCGAGACAUAGUCAAUUAUCGUGAUAGCGGUAACAAUGACAAUCGAGGCUACAGAGAUUUUAAAAUAAGGUUUUCUCGGCUUAGAAUGAAAUUUGACUGAAAUUUUCAGCAUAAUCCCUUUACAUUCUCUAGUUUGUAUCUAUCAUAGUGGGGAGUGCCAGCUUUUUAUCUAAUCUUCCAUAAUGUAUGUUUAAAUUAAGGUCUACCACUGAACUAAUGAUUGAGAAGACUUGGAUUGUCGAAUGUUUACCGCGUUCGCGUUGUAUCAUAAGGUCUAUCAUUGAGUCAACUGGCGUGGUUUUGAUUCCUCGGUUGUACCUGACAAGGAGAAGGGUCGCAUGUCCAACCUCGUGAGUUUUCUGGGAAACCUCCGGUUUCCUCCCACUGCUAAAGAUCCCUACGCGCAAGGGGAUUAUUGAAAUUAAAUUGAACCAUAUUAUGUUAGUCCCGAAGUGACCUAGUUUGUUUCGAGUAGACGUUAUCUCUCUCUCUCUCGCUCUCCCUCUCUCUCUCUCUGUGUGCACUUAUGACUGAAGAUUGCCAACACUUAAAAUAACGUAUGCGACUGACCUAAUUAUUGAAAAAUAUAAGUAAUUAUAAACGAAUAUUUUGUGCUUUAUGUGAGCCAGUUUUGAUUUAACUGUAAUUGCUAUUUCAUUCUAAACGUGUAUUAUGCAAGAUUUAUAUUAAACUUUUAAUAAACAGUCAUAUAGCGUCGGGGGGGGGGGGAGUCAAAAUGUCGUAUCUGGGUUUUGCGAAAUUGUCCAGGAGAGCCAACAAUAGCACAGGGGUUAAGAAUCAAAAUGUAACGUCAAAAUAUCGUAUGUAAAAUGUCGUAUUUCUAAAGCUUUUCUCAAAUAUUUAUGUACAAAAUGUAUGUGUAGCCAUUUAAACAGUAUGUAACUAUCCGCACAUAUCAUGAUCAGCAUCUGGUACAGAAAUAAAGAGUGAAAGCUAGUUAAUUGCAAUUUUAUACAGUAAAGACAUAUCUCAGGAAAAAAUUCACCAUUACCUGCUUCAGUUUCAUAGAUUUCACACAGUAGAGGCUCAAUAAUAAUUUCAAUAAUACGUAUUUAACCAUAAAACAAUACUAGCUAUAUUUCGUUUGAUUGCAAUGAUUUGGUUAGACGCAAUGUUGAUUUUUUCAAGAAAAUACAUUUUCGCUCUUAAUAAUUCUUUUUUUUUUUGGAACACCCCAUAUACGACAUUUUGAAACAGUAUCUAUAAAACCUCUUUUUAUUGGCUUAGAAAUACGACAACCAGAUGAAAAGAUGCGCAAGAAAAUUCUCAUUCUGAAGAAACAAAAAAGUGAAUUUCGCAAAAUAUGCCAGAUACGACUCUUUGACUCCCCACCGACGAUAGCUGUAUUUAAUGUGGUAUCGGUGUGAAUUAUUACUCCAUGUGUUUAGCUGAUUGUUGUGUAUUGUUAUUGUGAUCUUACAGGUUUCGGUGUUAAAUGCUGAAUUUAAAACUUAAACAUACAUUAUGCAAGAUCUAAAUCUGCCAAAUGCAGGUCUUUCUUUAGGUCUGAAACGUUCUCUAAAUUAUUAAUUACACAUUAAUUGACUUAUCCAGACCAUAAUCAACUCGCGAUGUCAUCGCUAGCUUGCGAUAUUUACUGGAUUAUAAUCCGAUCUGUUGCUCAACGCUCAUUCAUGAUUAAAUUUUAAAAAAUUGAAUAAUCGAGACUAUGCUUUCAUCGUACCGACUUUAGUAAUGAUGAUCGAGGCUAGGCCCAAAAUUCAAUUAUUAAAUUUUUGGUUCAGAGUGGAGCAAACUGACUGAAAUUUUCAGCAAAUUCCCUUUACAUUAUCUAGUUUUUAACUAUUAUAGUGAGAACUGCCCGCUCUUUAUCUACUCUCCCAUACAUGUGUCUUUAAUAGACUGGUCGAGCCUUGUUUCUCAAAAUCUUAACUAAAGGUAAAAUCCAAAUUUAAGUAGAGACUUCAGUUUUGAUUGGCUAAGCACUAAAAUCAAUCUAAUAUUAUCCAAUCAAAUUACUAAAAUUUGGAUUUUAUCGUAGUUAAAAUUUCGUGAAACAGGCCCCAGUGAUAUAGCUGUGUUUGGUUAGCUGAUUGUUUUAUUGUUAUAAUGACCUUAUAGCUGAGGUGUCGGUGUUAAUUGUUUAAUUUAAAACUUAAUAAACAGUGAUA